CAUGUUUGACUGACCACUAAAAUUGUACUAAACAACAUGCGUGUAACGCCUCAAAAAUUAAUUAUUAAAAAGAACUAUCAUGCUACAAGACUUCAAUAUACUAAAUGAAUGAUUUGCAUUUGACCAAGACCGACCAGUCAUGCUCGAUUUGAACAAAGAAGUCUACAUAGGUCAGCAGAGGGUGGAAAUAAAACCACAAACCUCUUACAUCUGUUUGAAGUUGCUGAAGUCACAUGCUAAUUAGUAUGACAUGUGUAAAACCUAGCUGAUGAUAUUCAUCGCAACAAGAAUACAAGUGGCAUCCAAACGCACUAAGCAUGAUGCAUGGUAUAAUUAGAGAGCUCUUGUGCCCGCCUAGUAAACCGUCUAUCUUUGGCGAAAGACACUCCUCGA
This 393-nucleotide long non-coding RNA is filed under the name Sorghum bicolor (sorghum). Its description in RNAcentral is "long non-coding RNA (SBIC_LNC013049)". Lineage: Eukaryota; Viridiplantae; Streptophyta; Magnoliopsida; Poales; Poaceae. The record is from RNAcentral.